CUCCUUAUAGUUUAAUGGAAGAACAUAGGUCUUCUAAACCUAUAAUCAAGGUUCGAGUCCUUGUUGGGAGG
This 71-nucleotide transfer RNA is filed under the name Candidatus Vidania fulgoroideorum. RNAcentral's name for it is "tRNA-Arg". It matches the Rfam family "tRNA". Rfam says of the family: Transfer RNA (tRNA) molecules are approximately 80 nucleotides in length. Their secondary structure includes four short double-helical elements and three loops (D, anti-codon, and T loops). Further hydrogen bonds mediate the characteristic L-shaped molecular structure. tRNAs have two regions of fundamental functional importance: the anti-codon, which is responsible for specific mRNA codon recognition, and the 3' end, to which the tRNAs corresponding amino acid is attached (by aminoacyl-tRNA synthetases). tRNAs cope with the degeneracy of the genetic code in two manners: having more than one tRNA (with a specific anti-codon) for a particular amino acid; and 'wobble' base-pairing, i.e. permitting non-standard base-pairing at the 3rd anti-codon position. The record is from RNAcentral. Lineage: Bacteria; Pseudomonadati; Pseudomonadota; Betaproteobacteria.